RNAcentral lists this ribosomal RNA (231 nucleotides) under uncultured bacterium. RNAcentral describes it as "partial 16S ribosomal RNA". It matches the Rfam family "Bacterial small subunit ribosomal RNA", at positions 118 to 350 of the family's 1533-position model. The record is from RNAcentral.
UGGGCAACCUGCCCUCAGCACUGGGAUAACCCCGGGAAACCGGGGCUAAUACCGGAUACGACCUUCCCUCGCAUGGGGGUUGGUGGAAAGUUCUUCGGCUGAGGAUGGGCCCGCGGCCUAUCAGCUUGUUGGUGAGGUAACGGCUCACCAAGGCUUCGACGGGUAGCCGGCCUGAGAGGGCGACCGGCCACACUGGGACUGAGAUACGGCCCAGACUCCGUACGGGAGGCA